AGCCUCAUGGUGCUUACCCCCAGGCUGUAUUCUUAUACUGGCUGCACAGAAAGGAGUAAAAUCCACCCAUCUACACCACAGCCCAGGCCCUUUGCCUGGUCUGUACUACGAAUGGGAGGGCAUGG
This 125-nucleotide small nucleolar RNA is filed under the name Lynx canadensis (Canada lynx). Its description in RNAcentral is "Small nucleolar RNA SNORA51 (ENSLCNG00005007036.1)". It matches the Rfam family "Small nucleolar RNA SNORA51". From Rfam's summary of the family: ACA51 is a member of the H/ACA class of snoRNA that guide the sites of modification of uridines to pseudouridines. The record is from Rfam by way of RNAcentral. Lineage: Eukaryota; Metazoa; Chordata; Mammalia; Carnivora; Felidae.